RNAcentral lists this ribosomal RNA (359 nucleotides) under Serratia nevei. Its description in RNAcentral is "bacterial SSU rRNA". It matches the Rfam family "Bacterial small subunit ribosomal RNA", at positions 1 to 356 of the family's 1533-position model. The record is from RNAcentral. Lineage: Bacteria; Pseudomonadati; Pseudomonadota; Gammaproteobacteria; Enterobacterales; Yersiniaceae.
UAAUUGAAGAGUUUGAUCAUGGCUCAGAUUGAACGCUGGCGGCAGGCUUAACACAUGCAAGUCGAGCGGUAGCACAGGGGAGCUUGCUCCCUGGGUGACGAGCGGCGGACGGGUGAGUAAUGUCUGGGAAACUGCCUGAUGGAGGGGGAUAACUACUGGAAACGGUAGCUAAUACCGCAUAACGUCGCAAGACCAAAGAGGGGGACCUUCGGGCCUCUUGCCAUCAGAUGUGCCCAGAUGGGAUUAGCUAGUAGGUGGGGUAAUGGCUCACCUAGGCGACGAUCCCUAGCUGGUCUGAGAGGAUGACCAGCCACACUGGAACUGAGACACGGUCCAGACUCCUACGGGAGGCAGCAGUG